RNAcentral lists this ribosomal RNA (681 nucleotides) under uncultured bacterium. Its description in RNAcentral is "bacterial SSU rRNA". It matches the Rfam family "Bacterial small subunit ribosomal RNA", at positions 71 to 750 of the family's 1533-position model. The record is from RNAcentral.
ACAUUGUGCUUGCACAGAUGACGACCGGCGCACGGGUGCGUAACGCGUAUAGAACCUACCUUUUACAGAGGAAUAGCCUUUAGAAAUGAAGAUUAAUGCCUCAUAGUAUUGUAGACUGGCAUCAGUUUAUAAUUAAAGAUUUAUCGGUAAAAGAUGGCUAUGCGUCCUAUUAGUUAGUUGGUAAGGUAACGGCUUACCAAGACAGCGAUAGGUAGGGGUCCUGAGAGGGAGAUCCCCCACACUGGUACUGAGACACGGACCAGACUCCUACGGGAGGCAGCAGUGAGGAAUAUUGGACAAUGGAGGAGACUCUGAUCCAGCCAUGCCGCGUGUAGGAAGAAUGCCCUAUGGGUUGUAAACUACUUUUAUACAGGAAGAAACACUGGUAUGUAUACCAGCUUGACGGUACUGUAAGAAUAAGGACCGGCUAACUCCGUGCCAGCAGCCGCGGUAAUACGGAGGGUCCGAGCGUUAUCCGGAAUCAUUGGGUUUAAAGGGUCCGCAGGCGGUCUAUUAAGUCAGAGGUGAAAUCCCAUAGCUCAACUAUGGAACUGCCUUUGAUACUGGUUGACUUGAGUCAUAUGGAAGUAGAUAGAAUGUGUAGUGUAGCGGUGAAAUGCAUAGAUAUUACACAGAAUACCGAUUGCGAAGGCAGUCUACUACGUAUGUACUGACGCUGAG